UUUUUUUUUUUUUUUAAGAUGGUGUCUCACUCUGUUGCCAGGCUGGAGUGCAGUGGCAUGAUCUCGGUUCACUGCAACCUCCACUUCCUGGGUUCAAGCGAUUCUCCUGCCUCAGCCUCCUGAGUAGCUGGGACUACAGGCGCCCACCAUCACGCCCAGCUAACUUUUGUAUUUUUAGUAGAGAUGGGGUUUCACCCUGUUGGCCAGGAUGGUCUUGAUCUCUUGACCUCGUGAUCCGCCCGCCUCAGCCUCCCAAAGUGCUGGGAUUACAGGCGUGAGCCAUCGCGCCUGGCCUCUGACCACUGUUUUUAUAUCUAUAACUAGUAUCAUACACACAUUAUUACAUGAAUAUUAACUACCUAGCUAAGAGAAAGUGUUGAGCAAUUGCUUAUCUGGUGAAUAAAAUGCAUAUUUGAAACCAAUUGGUGUAAAUUAGUAACCAUAUUGUACUUUAGAAAAUAUAUUUUUUCCUUCAAGUGAUUUUUGGGGGCUUGAUUUACCUGAACAAUGCCCUAAUCCCUCCAUUCUGCCUGAGUAGAUGAUCUGAGACAGAUUAUUGAAAGCACAGGUGUGGAUGAGGCACUCGGGUUAAGGGUGAACUUUGCUGCAGUUGGUAGGAUCUGUUCUCAUUUGAAGGAACACAAGCCAAACAUAAUUGUUUUGAUUCCCUGGUCUCUGGCUAGAUUUCUUGCAUAAAAAAUAAUAACAGAAGGCAAUUCAACACAUGAACAGACUGAGUAAAACUGUAGUGCAUUCACCCUAAAAGACAGCACACCUAAAAUGCCAUUCUCAUUCUGAGAUCUCAUCACAUGUUCAAAAGUUCUUGCAGAUGUGUGUCUGGCAGAGAAGAUGGUUUAAUUUCAUACCUAAACCUAAAGCAUACAUGUAUAUAUAAAUUCAACACAUUCAUGACAUUGAAACACCUUUUCAUUCUUCUCCUAACUAGAAUUGUUUUUCCUUUGGUAUUAUUCUUGGUGGUUGUUCACUGAGUAAAACUCCAGAGAGAUUUUUCUGUUUUUAACUAUUAUAUAAAUAAUUCACUGGCUUUAAAAGCCAGGAAAAUAAGGGUUAUAAUCAGAGUCAUAUGAUCGUCUAGAUUUUAACAAUGAAGUACUUGAACUCUAGUUUGUUGUAUAAAGUUAAGAGGCUCAAGAUCUUCAAGGCUCGGAGAGAGACCAAGUCUAAGUAUGGUUGGAGAGCUGGACAGAGGCAGGUAAAACCAUGCUUUCCAAAUGUUUCUAUCCAUCCUACCUCUGUGUACCUCUGCCUUGUGUUAGUUCUAGAAAUAUUCAUUUCUUUCUCUCUCUCUCUCUUUUUUUUUUUCUGUGAUGGAGUCUCACUCUUCGCCCAGGCUGGAGAGCAA
This 1363-nucleotide long non-coding RNA is filed under the name Macaca fascicularis (crab-eating macaque). RNAcentral describes it as "lncRNA (ENSMFAG00000050105.1)". The record is from RNAcentral. Lineage: Eukaryota; Metazoa; Chordata; Mammalia; Primates; Cercopithecidae.